This 259-nucleotide ribosomal RNA is filed under the name uncultured bacterium. Its description in RNAcentral is "partial 16S ribosomal RNA". It matches the Rfam family "Bacterial small subunit ribosomal RNA", at positions 524 to 776 of the family's 1533-position model. The record is from RNAcentral.
UACGUAGGGGGCAAGCGUUGUCCGGAUUCAUUGGGCGUAAAGAGCGUGUAGGCGGCCAGGUAGGUCGGUUGUGAAAACUGGAGGCUCAACCUUCAGAGGUCGACCGAAAACCAUCUGGCUAGAGUCCGGGAGAGGAGAGUGGAAUUCCGUGGAUGUAGCGGUGAAAUGACGCAGAUAUCGAGGAAGAACACCCGUGGCGAAAGCGGCUCUCUGGAACGGUACUGACGCGAAGACGCGGAAAGCGUGGGGAGCGAACAGG